Molecule: ribosomal RNA, 495 nt
Filed under: uncultured bacterium
Lineage: Bacteria
Description: partial 16S ribosomal RNA
Rfam family: Bacterial small subunit ribosomal RNA
Source: RNAcentral
GACGAACGCUGGCGGCGUGCCUAAUACAUGCAAGUAGAACGCUGAAGGAGGAGCUUGCUUCUCUGGAUGAGUUGCGAACGGGUGAGUAACGCGUAGGUAACCUGCCUGGUAGCGGGGGAUAACUAUUGGAAACGAUAGCUAAUACCGCAUAAUAGCAGUUGUUGCAUGACAACUGUUUGAAAGGUGCAAUUGCACCACUACCAGAUGGACCUGCGUUGUAUUAGCUAGUUGGUGGGGUAACGGCUCACCAAGGCGACGAUACAUAGCCGACCUGAGAGGGUGAUCGGCCACACUGGGACUGAGACACGGCCCAGACUCCUACGGGAGGCAGCAGUAGGGAAUCUUCGGCAAUGGACGGAAGUCUGACCGAGCAACGCCGCGUGAGUGAAGAAGGGUUUCGGAUCGUAAAGCUCUGUUGUAAGAGAAGAACGAGUGUGAGAGUGGAAAGUUCACACUGUGACGGUAUCUUACCAGAAAGGGACGGCUAACUACGUG